Mastomys coucha (southern multimammate mouse) is the source of this 292-nucleotide long non-coding RNA. RefSeq lists it as uncharacterized. The record is from RefSeq and is a predicted model, not a curated record. NCBI's taxonomy places the organism in Eukaryota, Metazoa, Chordata, Mammalia, Rodentia, Muridae. The transcript is spliced from 2 exons.
UGGGUAACUGCCGGAGGGUGCUGGGGAGCCGCUGGAAGCAGCCACACCAGCAUGUGCCCUGACCCCUACAGUGGCUAGCCAUAGACAUACCUCAUGGGAACAUGCUUAGAUGGGUUGAACUUCCGGCUCCUCCCCACCGUGAACAGCCUGCUUUGGGUCAUGGUGGCCUUGCUUCCUCAGUACAAAGGCACAAAUGAAAGCCACCACGAAGAUUGUCCCGUGGGCGCAUCUGGUGAACACAUGUCCUGACAUUUCCUAGAAAUAUCCCAGUAAAUAAAAACAGUGGAGACCA